CAAAUAAUAUCUUUGUUUCAGGAAAAAGCUCCGAUGGAGAUAAAUGUUUUGUUAGCAGCCAGAAGGUUCAUUUCUGACGAAACCCUAGUUCUCCUAGCAGAUCUUCCCACGUUAGAGCUGUUUCCCCUAGUUGCUCUGGCAAGGGCAGAUGUUUUUGGUGAGGCUGUUAAGUGGGUUAACCAUUUUAAUAAUAUUUUCACCUGUGACUGUGAGUGGGAAAGCUGAGCCUGGCCCAAAUGCUUAAGGAGCCUCUUGAGUUCUGUUCGGAUGGUGCCAAUGUGAGUGUCCCAUACCUCAAGUGGACAGGCCUCCUCCAGCUCGGGCCAACGCUGAGCACCAUUCUGUCCUACCCACUUCGUACUUCCAGGAGUCAGUCCCGUUCCUCUGUCCAAGUCCCGGUCCAGAGGGACUUUCAGGGGGUAGCACCGACAGCAUGGCUGCCCCUCCCACCAGUCAGGUCACCCAGUGCUGCCACCGAGGUGGGGAGGCCUUCCUGAGCAGGUGCUCAAAGGGCUGCUGCGAGAACAGAGGGAGAGCUCUCCAAACCCCAGCACGGUUCUCAGUCAUCAUGAGACCGGAACACAGAGGCCCACACACGACCGCUGGACAUGUUUAAGAAAAUGCCAAUGUAUUUCCACUAGAAAAAUCCUCUUUUCCUAAAUACAUGUCUCUAUGUUGAAUAAGUUAAAAUAGCAUCUCC
Molecule: long non-coding RNA, 700 nt
Filed under: Homo sapiens (human)
Lineage: Eukaryota; Metazoa; Chordata; Mammalia; Primates; Hominidae
Description: HSALNT0049854
Source: RNAcentral